Molecule: unclassified non-coding RNA, 246 nt
Filed under: Aliivibrio wodanis
Lineage: Bacteria; Pseudomonadati; Pseudomonadota; Gammaproteobacteria; Vibrionales; Vibrionaceae
Description: putative sRNA
Source: RNAcentral
GCACAAUAUAUCCUAUGUAAGGGUAACUAUAGAAAGAAAUUACUUCUAUUUCCAUUGCUUAGCUCUAAUAAAAAAGGGUUUGAAAGUAUAAAGAUAGAAUAUAUAGCGGUAGCAAAGUACAAUACGACCCAUCUUCGGAAUACGGUGAAAAUCCGUAACGGACGCGCCACUGUGAAAGUCUCAAUGGGAUUUGAGUCAGAUACGAAGUGCUUAAUUUUAUGUUCUAUUACAUUAGAACAAUAAUGU